GAUGUGUCUAUGAGAAGCAAGUUUUGGGAAAUGACUUGGCAACCAGUGGUCUUAUAGAAUGGGGCCAAAUAAAAAGGAACCCUUCCUUUCAAACGAAUAGAUGUCCUCACUGUGCUUAGUGUCAUGGAAGAUGACAUAACUCAUUAUAAAGUAUGAGUUCAGUCUUCUCUCUCUAUUGCCCUCUCUUAUAUCAUUUUAUUUCAUGGGAUGAUGUAGCAAAGUCUUCCUUACCAGAAACCAGUGUCUUGGUAUCGGACUGACUAGCCUUCAGACCUGAAAAAUUAAUUUCAUAUUACCCAGUUUCUGAUAAUUUGUUAUUACAGCAUGCGUUGGACUGAGGCAGGGGGAAAAGUGGAUUUUUUCAGGUUAGUUAUACUAGAUUAAUACUAAUUACAGUGUUUUCCAUUAUGGAAUAUCAUUGUAGAGUUCACCUCAUUGUCAUCUCUCUAUCAUCUGUUUAGCAAUCUGUUUGUCUGUUAUCUAUUAUAUAUUAGCUAUUUGUUUGUUAUCAUCUUUCUCUCUCUUUCAUUCUCUCUUAUCUAUGUAGGCUUAGAUUUUUCAAAACCUACUUUUACUAAGUGUUCUUAAAUGUUUUAACUUCCCUUCUAGCCCACCAUCCACCAGGGGUAUUGGAAAGGAAAGAUUAAGAGAGCAAAGGAGGAUGUGGACUUGUUUUGAAAUAUUUCUUUGUAGAAAGUCCAACCUGUGUUGUCAGGAUAUCAGCAGUUUAAUUCACAUGAAUCAGCAGUGGCAUCUCGAUCCACUCACAAACACCAUUCACGGAUCAACAAUGGCAGCUCAAUCCAGAAGAAACUGCUAGGCUCUGCCAAUCAGCCAGAAUCCAUAGAAGUAAGAAGUUGCCAGAACACCACCAAAAGUUUUUGGUCCAUUUCUAUGAAAUCAUGACAAAUAGUGACCAACAAUAAGUGGUAAGGCAUACCAAUACUACCCAGCAUCAUCAGUGAAGACCAGCAUCAGCAAAGCCCAAUGCUGACCAGCAAAGUGUGCCAAGGUGUAUCAAGACCAUCCAGAAUUGUCUACUGUUUGUUGGGUUAUAUUUAUAUCCUUUCCAAACAUCACGUGUUCUCUCAAGCAUCUGCUCUAGCAAAAUAUUACAGAAAACAUGUCUGUUCUUAGC
RNAcentral lists this long non-coding RNA (1138 nucleotides) under Mus musculus (house mouse). RNAcentral describes it as "long non-coding RNA chr3:147426375-147427513". The record is from RNAcentral. Lineage: Eukaryota; Metazoa; Chordata; Mammalia; Rodentia; Muridae.